CCCCUGUAUACUGCACACAGGCCACUUCAAUGAGCUGAAGUGGUCUAUGUGCCUAUAGUGUCCUUUUAACACCAUAGGUGCUAAAAUGAAAGAUCAAUGGUGUGGAUAGAUCAUGUUGGCUUGCUCUGUACACGUGGAAUGAGCCUGAAGGGUUUAGGUUUCAGAUUUUAAACUCCACACCAAACUGGAUUAAACUGAAACCCAAAUUGCAAAAAAUGUCCCCAAACCCAUUCUUUUGGCCUAUUUUUUUUUCCCCAAUUUCUUCAAGUUUGGUGUUUAGUGAAUACACACCAUGGUUUUAAAAUGUAUUUACAUAGGCAAAAUAAUGACGGAUAUAAAUAAUAAGGUUUUCUGAUGCCCAUGUAAGUAUUAAUCAAGGAAUCUGGCGGCGGUCGAUCUUGGCAAAUUAAUCCAUGUAAAAAGAAAAAACUUGUAUUAUUCCAUUUUCCAGGGCGUGGGUUUAGUAAAUAAUUUUCCUGCCGGCUUAGAUCUGAUCGAAUGAAUGUACACACAUCAGAGGAGACUGUGGUGCUUAUUUCUCUUAAAGGACAACUUUCACUGCAAACCUGUUUUUUUUAAUGUAUUAACCCUUUCAUCAAGUAUUAAAAGAACCCACCCCUCAGUAUAUGUAAACAGAUCAGAGAAAUGCUUUCCUACCUUCAGUAUAUUACAGGAUCCUUCAGCCAUAUACAUGAACCUUUGGUCAGACUGUGUUAGAAAACAGUCUCCCUGCAUAGGCAGGG
Pelobates cultripes (western spadefoot toad) is the source of this 743-nucleotide non-coding RNA. NCBI's taxonomy places the organism in Eukaryota, Metazoa, Chordata, Amphibia, Anura, Pelobatidae. The record is from the annotation of a GenBank genome assembly.